RNAcentral lists this ribosomal RNA (617 nucleotides) under uncultured bacterium. Its description in RNAcentral is "bacterial SSU rRNA". It matches the Rfam family "Bacterial small subunit ribosomal RNA", at positions 338 to 954 of the family's 1533-position model. The record is from RNAcentral.
CCUACGGGAGGCAGCAGUAAGGAAUAUUGGUCAAUGGAGGCAACUCUGAACCAGCCAUGCCGCGUGCAGGAAGACGGCCCUAUGGGUUGUAAACUGCUUUUGAACUAGAGAAAACCUUGGUACGUGUACCGAGUUGAUAGUAUAGUUAGAAUAAGCAUCGGCUAACUUCGUGCCAGCAGCCGCGGUAAGACGAAGGAUGCAAGCGUUAUCCGGAUUCAUUGGGUUUAAAGGGUGCGUAGGCGGACUGAUAAGUCAGUGGUGAAAUCUCUCAGCUUAACUGAGAAACUGCCAUUGAUACUGUUAGUCUAGAGUACAGAUGAUGUGGGCGGAAUAUGACAUGUAGUGGUGAAAUACUUAGAUAUGUCAUAGAACACCGAUUGCGAAGGCAGCUCACAAAACUGUAACUGACGCUGAGGCACGAAAGUGCGGGGAUCAAACAGGAUUAGAUACCCUGGUAGUCCGCACCGUAAACGAUGAUUACUCGUUGUUGGCGAUAUGACAGUCAGCGACCAAGCGAAAGCGAUAAGAAUCCACCUGGGGAGUACGCCGGCAACGGUGAAACGUCAAAUGAAUUGACGGCUUGGAGGACGNGCGACGGACGACACGAGGGGAGGAGG